Molecule: long non-coding RNA, 976 nt
Organism: Beta vulgaris subsp. vulgaris (sugar beet)
Lineage: Eukaryota; Viridiplantae; Streptophyta; Magnoliopsida; Caryophyllales; Amaranthaceae
Exons: 3
Source: RefSeq, a predicted model, not a curated record
UAUUUUAUUUACUUUUUUUUUUGAAAUAGAAACUUCAUUAAUUGAUGGCCAAACGACAUCUAUAAUAAGUAUUAAAGAAAAAACAAUACAUAAUCAGACAAGAUCUGUAACACCCCACAAUUUUUGUACCUAUUUAUAUGCUUAUUAUUUGUAUAUUAAAUAUUUUAUGAAAGUAAAUUAAAUUAUUUCAUUUAUGAAAAUAUUAAUUUUUCUCACUUUGGCUUUAGUUCAAGAGUGGUCAAGUAAGUUUUAUAUUUCUAAAAGAGGUUAUCAUAUAUUAUAUAAGUAUACACUUCUAGAUUUAGAUGGUAAAAGGAAAACAAAUAGAAAAGAGAGGAAAAAAAAAAAGGAAAAAGGAGUUUAAAACCAAAAAGAAAGAAAAAGAAAAAGAAAAAAAAAAAAAAGAACAAAGGCUACGGGAUUGUAAUUCCCAGCCAAAACAAAACAAAAGAAAGGUUUCUUUCUUUUGGUUCACUUCAUCUUCUACCCUAUUCAUUCUUCUCCUAUUUCUUGAUUCAAUACCAUAAAUUCACAAACUUUGUUGAACGUUUAUCACACAUCAAUCUUCCUUCCUCUAACUUCAACAAUACUUGAUUUUGUGGGUAUUUCAAAGAGUGAAAAUUUGGGUUUCAAAUUGGACGUUUUUGGGGGCGAAUAUCGGAUUAAAAAAAGGAGUGAUUUUCGGGUCUUUUUCUUGAGUAAUUUCAUCUCUCUAUUCAAAUCACGGGUUUGUAGAGGAACCCUUUUGACUUGUAAUUGAGAUUGGUUGAUAGUGGUUUGCUAAUAAGGGCUUGAUGGUGACUAGCUUAUAUUGGGGUGGAAGCGUUGAUUUCACCUAGAUGUAGAUUUAUUAAAGUUAAGACUUCCGCUGCAAUAGUUUAGAAUUAUGGUUUGUUAUAGGAGCGUAUUAAUUAAUUACAUUUCCUUUUAGUUGUAAUAGUUAAUAAUUAAUUUAUGUAUUAGUAGUAGUACCUUU